Molecule: ribosomal RNA, 466 nt
Filed under: uncultured bacterium
Lineage: Bacteria
Description: partial 16S ribosomal RNA
Rfam family: Bacterial small subunit ribosomal RNA
Source: RNAcentral
GAUGAACGCUGGCGGCGUGCUUAACACAUGCAAGUCGAACGGAAAGGCUCCUGCUUGCAGGGGUACUCGAGUGGCGAACGGGUGAGUAACACGUGGGUGAUCUGCCCUGCACUUCGGGAUAAGCCUGGGAAACUGGGUCUAAUACCGGAUAGGACGAUGGUUUGGAUGCCAUUGUGGAAAGUUUUUUCGGUGUGGGAUGAGCUCGCGGCCUAUCAGCUUGUUGGUGGGGUAAUGGCCUACCAAGGCGUCGACGGGUAGCCGGCCUGAGAGGGUGUACGGCCACAUUGGGACUGAGAUACGGCCCAGACUCCUACGGGAGGCAGCAGUGGGGAAUAUUGCACAAUGGGCGCAAGCCUGAUGCAGCGACGCCGCGUGGGGGAUGACGGCCUUCGGGUUGUAAACUCCUUUCGCUAGGGACGAAGCGCAAGUGACGGUACCAGGAGAAGAAGCACCGGCUAACUACGUG